AUAUAUAUAUAUAGAGAGAGAAAAAAUCAGGAACGACCCUGAUCGCACGGUGCCCUAAAACGGUACCUGCAUUACCCAUUACCCAUUACCCAUUACCUCUGUCAGACUUCUCCAUCCACAUCCACAUUACCCAUUACCCUAGACACUCCCAUCUCUGAUGUCUCUACAAAAGCCUCAUCUUUACCUCCUCCUACCUCUGUCAAUCGCCAUUAAUUAAACCACGACGGAAGGGAAGCAUCUUGACAGAACCCAUCGCGAUUGUACGAAGAGGAGUUGAUCCGGGGCCCUGUGAUAUAUAUCUACCGUUCCGUGCCCGCGACUGCGAGUUCCGCGGAACUCGAUUUCGAUUCCGCGGAACCCAUCGCGAGUUCCGCGGAACUCGAUCGCGGUUCCGCGGAAUUGGAAUCGGAACGACGAUCGCGGAACUCGAUCGCGGUUCCGCGGAAUCGGAAUCGGAACGCCGCGGAAUCGGAAUCGGAACGACGCGGAAUCGGAACGAC
Molecule: long non-coding RNA, 500 nt
Filed under: Zostera marina
Lineage: Eukaryota; Viridiplantae; Streptophyta; Magnoliopsida; Alismatales; Zosteraceae
Description: long non-coding RNA (ZMAR_LNC005585)
Source: RNAcentral